This 216-nucleotide non-coding RNA is filed under the name Chromera velia. The record is from RNAcentral. Lineage: Eukaryota; Chromeraceae.
GAAGAGACAAGAAGAAAAAAAAAAAAGAAGCAGAAGCAGAGGGAGAGGUCUCGCACCCCUUCCUCCUCUUCCUCUUCGAGUUAUGUUUCUUCUUCGUCAAGUGUCAUUUGCAUUUCUUCAUCUUCCUCUAUGUCUUCUUCUUUGUCAGCCUCGUCUUCUUCCUCUGACAGCGAAAAAAGGGUGUCAAGGGAGCGAGAUCGGAAGAAAAGACGAACA